Molecule: ribosomal RNA, 253 nt
Filed under: uncultured bacterium
Lineage: Bacteria
Description: partial 16S ribosomal RNA
Rfam family: Bacterial small subunit ribosomal RNA
Source: RNAcentral
GACGUAGGAUGCAAGCGUUGUCCGGAUUUAUUGGGCGUAAAGAGUUCGUAGGCGGUUCGUUAAGUUCGAUGUUAAAGACCGGGGCCCAACCCCGGGACUGCAUUGAAUACUGGCGGACUGGAGUGCAGUAGAGGUAAGUGGAAUUCCCAGUGUAGCGGUGAAAUGCGUAGAUAUUGGGAAGAACACCAGUGGCGUAAGCGACUUACUGGGCUGUAACUGACGCUGAGGAACGAAAGCCAGGGGAGCGAAUGGG